UUGAUUGUAGUGUGGAAAUUCAGGAACAGUGGCGGUAAUAUUAUUUAACCUCUUGUACUCCGGUCAUUUGAACAUUAUAAGGACACCCUUACAUAAAGAUGCUUUUAUUAAUUUUAGUGGGCUGGAAAUGAAAACGCAAGAUAUACAGCGCAGGCCUAGAGGGUCAUACAAGUGCCCUUUUACAGGACCUAACCUGUAAAUCUCAAAGCACAAAAGAAGUUACCGUGGCUAUAAGACCUCAUAAAAAGGAAGGAAGAAAAAUCUAUUACUUAAUCCAAUAACCUGGUAUCUUCUUCUAUAAAUUCAAACUGCACUUAAAUACUGCUUGACUAAUCGCUUACACAUUCUCAUAAAGUAUGCUGAGAAAGACAUCAUGAUCCUCUAUUUUGCAGACUGAGAAGUCAGCUAACUUAGUGCAACAUGCCAAUCAUUGCUAUAGAGAGAUGGUGAUUUUCAUUUGACCUGAUUUUUUACAAAGAGGAAGGCCC
This is a long non-coding RNA of Homo sapiens (human), 488 nucleotides long. RefSeq lists it as uncharacterized. The transcript has 3 exons. The record is from RefSeq and is a predicted model, not a curated record. Lineage: Eukaryota; Metazoa; Chordata; Mammalia; Primates; Hominidae.